AGAGUUUGAUCCUGGCUCAGGAUGAACGCUAGCUACAGGCUUAACACAUGCAAGUCGAGGGGAAACGACAUCGAAAGCUUGCUUUUGAUGGUCGUCGACCGGCGCACGGGUGAGUAACGCGUAUCCAACCUGCCCAUCACUUGGGGGAUAACCUUGCGAAAGUAAGACUAAUACCCAAUGAUAUCUCUAGAAGACAUCUGAAAGAGAUUAAAGAUUUAUCGGUGAUGGAUGGGGAUGCGUCUGAUUAGCUUGUUGGCGGGGUAACGGCCCACCAAGGCAACGAUCAUAGGGGGUUCCGAGAGGAAGGUCCCCCACAUUGGAACUGAGACACGGUCCAAACUCCUACGGGAGGCAGCA
RNAcentral lists this ribosomal RNA (357 nucleotides) under uncultured bacterium. Its description in RNAcentral is "bacterial SSU rRNA". It matches the Rfam family "Bacterial small subunit ribosomal RNA", at positions 8 to 353 of the family's 1533-position model. The record is from RNAcentral.